Molecule: ribosomal RNA, 492 nt
Filed under: uncultured bacterium
Lineage: Bacteria
Description: partial 16S ribosomal RNA
Rfam family: Bacterial small subunit ribosomal RNA
Source: RNAcentral
AGUGAACGCUGGCGGUAGGCCUAACACAUGCAAGUCGAACGGCAGCACAGUAAGAGCUUGCUCUUACGGGUGGCGAGUGGCGGACGGGUGAGGAAUACAUCGGAAUCUACUUUUUCGUGGGGGAUAACGUAGGGAAACUUACGCUAAUACCGCAUACGACCUACGGGUGAAAGCAGGGGAUCUUCGGACCUUGCGCGAUUGAAUUAGCCGAUGUCGGAUUAGCUAGUUGGCGGGGUAAAGGCCCACCAAGGCGACGAUCCGUAGCUGGUCUGAGAGGAUGAUCAGCAACACUGGAACUGAGACACGGUCCAGACUCCUACGGGAGGCAGCAGUGGGGAAUAUUGGACAAUGGGCGCAAGCCUGAUCCAGCCAUACCGCGUGGGUGAAGAAGGCCUUCGGGUUGUAAAGCCCUUUUGUUGGGAAAGAAAAGCAGCAGGUUAAUACCCCGCUGUUCUGACGGUACCCAAAGAAUAAGCACCGGCUAACUUCGUG